UUCAUAAACUUCAUCCAUUUCAUAACAAAACCAAGAAAAAAAUGAUUGAAGUUUUGAUUCAAUUUGAAUUAAAAUCUUUUCUUACAUUACAAGCAUGAGACAUAAGUUCAUGAGCAUACAUGUUUUACAUCAUAAGUUUUACACCGUAAGCCCUAGCCUAAACCACCUAGAAUUAUAUUGUGAAUUUGGAUCAAAGUGAGCCAAAAAACCAAAGGUUCUCAUGGCAGUCCCAUUUUUGCAUCCACAUUCAUCUCUUCAUGUUCCUUCCACAUCCAUCCUUCAUGUUCCUCGCAAUGCAUCCAAACCAUGGUAAUCAAUCCAUCCAUGAGCUGCAUCACCAGCAAACAUUUGUUCCAAUAUCACACUUCAACAAGCUCAACCUACAACAACAACAAAUCAAAUACACUCAAAACCUGCACAUAACUUGCCACAAUUCAUCAAACAAUAACAUCAUGAGCAACAUCAGUAAAUAUCAAAAACAACAAAAUUGCAUCAGCCUGCAAGACAACAACAUGCAUCAUGAGCAUCAUCCAAUCCUUUGCAUCUAAAUCAAGCAGCAACACAACCAUAGCACAACGUGUAAUUCAUACUUGCAGCAAAGCAUCAUUGACAUCAUUUCAUGCCCUAAUUCAAUUGCAGGCCCAUCAAACAAACACCCUGCAUCACAAUACAAACAAGUCCUGCAAUCAGUUAGUCAAAUCCUGCCCUACAACAAACACAAGCAGCUGCACAAUGCAACUCAAUCCAACCCCUUAAUUCAAACCUGCAACAGUCAAUAAAACCUAGCAUGCAUAAGUCAUAACAGCAGUAGCCCUACACAAUCCACUUCAAACAAUCCAAAGUAGUGCAUCCAAUCAACAACAAACUACAUCCAACAACAAUUCCAUAAUAGAGAAACAACAAAAUCAUGCAGAAGCUGCAAACACUCACCUUCAAUCUGUUGCAUCCUGCAACCAAAUACAUUAAUCCAAGCAGUCCUGCAUCAAAACAUCCAAGGCAAAUAAUAACAAUCCACAAUCAAAUAUCAUCAAUCCUGCAAACAUGACAACAUCCACAAACCACAUCAUCAAAACAAAUCAAAUGGCAAGUAAAACACAUUUCACCUAGUUAUUCUCUUACUGCAGUAAAAAACACACUUGGCAAGGAAGUAAAAAGGGAAAAGCACAACAAUCCAAACAAGUAAAAAAUAUCCACAAACAUUCAGUACACAGGGACAAUUACUUUUCAGAGCAGAAACACACAAUUGAGCAAGCAUUGUUCUGCAACAACAAGGCCAUUAUCCCUCCAUUCCCCUUUUUUUGGCCUCAUCAUAAAUCAAACCAAAAAAACUAUAAUUCUUUUCAUUAUAAAAGAGCACAUUCAUAACAAAAAGAGGUAAAAAACGAAUAUCAAAGGUUGAUAACUCUACAAUAUCAAAGCAAUUAGAAAAUACAGGCACAAACCCUAAACCUAAACAGUUGAACCACCAAAAAUUCAAAUCCUCAGUCUCGAGCUAGCCUAAAUCUCUUAACUCCCACUUACUUAUGAACUCAGAGGAAGAAUAAGAGAAAACCCAAAAAAGAAAAGAAGAGAACUAACCAGAACUCGCGCUAUUGUUGCCCCUACUCCGAUUGUCUUCUCCGGCGAGGUAGAAACCCAAAUUCCUCGGUUCAGCAUAUAUUGUAUACCAUUGUGUAGAGCAGACUUUAGGGACUCAAAUCCCUCCGGUUUGAGGCUUUGACUCCCUCUUAUUGUUUUUUUUAGUUUUAGGGUUCGUGAACACUUAUCCUUGAUUCAUCCGAUUGUUCAGAAUUUGGACUUUUUUAUUACGGUUUUCGUCUUCACGAGUUUGAAACGAAGGGUUUGAGUUUAUUUAUUUUAUGGUUUGAGCUCCGCCCCAACGAAGCGGGAACUUUGAUUUUUUUUG
This 1906-nucleotide long non-coding RNA is filed under the name Lathyrus oleraceus (garden pea). RNAcentral describes it as "Pisum sativum (pea) long non-coding RNA (PSAT_LNC036476)". Lineage: Eukaryota; Viridiplantae; Streptophyta; Magnoliopsida; Fabales; Fabaceae. The record is from RNAcentral.